GACGAACGCUGGCGGCGUGCUUAACACAUGCCAGUCGAACGGAAAGGCCCCUUUGGGGGUACUCGAGUGGCGAACGGGUGAGUAACACGUGAGUAACCUGCCCUUGACUUCGGGAUAACUUCAGGAAACUGGGGCUAAUACCGGAUAGGAAUCCUUGCUGCAUGGUGGGGGUUGGAAAGCUUCGGCGGUUUUGGAUGGACUCGCGGCUUAUCAGCUUGUUGGUGGGGUAGUGGCUUACCAAGGCUUUGACGGGUAGCCGGCCUGAGAGGGCGACCGGCCACAUUGGGACUGAGAUACGGCCCAGACUCCUACGGGAGGCAGCAGUGGGGAAUAUUGCACAAUGGGCGGAAGCCUGAUGCAGCAACGCCGCGUGCGGGAUGACGGCCUUCGGGUUGUAAACCGCUUUCAGCAGGGGCGAAGCUUUUGUGACGGUACCUGCAGAAGAAGCACCGGCUAACUACGUG
This 464-nucleotide ribosomal RNA is filed under the name uncultured bacterium. Its description in RNAcentral is "partial 16S ribosomal RNA". It matches the Rfam family "Bacterial small subunit ribosomal RNA", at positions 28 to 507 of the family's 1533-position model. The record is from RNAcentral.